This 440-nucleotide ribosomal RNA is filed under the name uncultured bacterium. Its description in RNAcentral is "partial 16S ribosomal RNA". It matches the Rfam family "Bacterial small subunit ribosomal RNA", at positions 338 to 795 of the family's 1533-position model. The record is from RNAcentral.
CCUACGGGUGGCUGCAGUGGGGAAUAUUGGACAAUGGGGGAAACCCUGAUCCAGCCAUGCCGCGUGAAUGAUGAAGGCCUUCGGGUUGUAAAGUUCUUUUGGUAGGGACGAUGAUGACGGUACCUACAGAAUAAGCUCCGGCUAACUUCGUGCCAGCAGCCGCGGUAAAACGAAGGGAGCAAGCGUCGUUCGGAAUUACUGGGCGUAAAGGGUGUGUAGGCGGUUCGACAAGUCAGAUGUGAAAGCCCCGGGCUCAACCUGGGAACUGCGUUUGAUACUGGCGGGCUAGAGUUCGGUAGAGGUGAGUGGAAUUCCCAGUGUAGAGGUGAAAUUCGUAGAGAUUGGGAAGAACACCGGUGGCGAAGGCGGCUCACUGGACCGACAUUGACGCUGAAACACGAAAGCGUGGGGAGCAAACAGGAUUAGAUACCCUAGUAGUC